AGUAACGGCGAGUGAAGCGGCAACAGCUCAAAUUUGAAAUCUGGCGCCUCCGGCGUCCGAGUUGUAAUUUGUAGAGGAUGCUAUUGGGUUGCCACCGGUCUAAGUUCCUUGGAACAGGACGUCACAGAGGGUGAGAAUCCCGUAUGUGACCGGCCAGGCGCCCUCCGUAUAGCUCCUUCGACGAGUCGGGUUGUUUGGGAAUGCAGCCCUAAAUGGGAGGUAAAUUUCUUCUAAAGCUAAAUACCGGCCAGAGACCGAUAGCGCACAAGUAGAGUGAUCGAAAGAUGAAAAGCACUUUGGAAAGAGAGUUAAAAAGCACGUGAAAUUGUUGAAAGGGAAGCGCUUGCAAUCAGUCUCGACGGCGGCUGUUCGGCCUCUCUUCUGAGUGGUUUAUUCAGUCGCCGCCGGGCCAGCAUCAGUUUCGGCGGUCGGACAAAGGCGCGGGGAAUGUAGCUCCCUCGGGAGUGUUAUAGCCCCGCGUGCAAUACGGCCCGCCGGGACUGAGGUCCGCGCUCCGGCUAGGAUGCUGGCGAAAUGGUUGUAAGCGGCCCGUCUUGAAACACGGACCAAGGAGUCUAACAUCUACGCGAGUGUUUGGGUGUCAAACCCGUGCGCGCAAUGAAAGUGAACGGAGGUGGGAACCGCAAGGUGCACCAUCGACCGAUCCUGAUGUCUUCGGAUGGAUUUGAGUAAGAGCGUAGCUGUUGGGACCCGAAAGAUGGUGAACUAUGCCUGAAUA
Molecule: ribosomal RNA, 739 nt
Filed under: Elsinoe perseae
Lineage: Eukaryota; Fungi; Ascomycota; Dothideomycetes; Myriangiales; Elsinoaceae
Description: partial large subunit ribosomal RNA
Rfam family: Eukaryotic large subunit ribosomal RNA
Source: RNAcentral